ACACUUAAUUGGCAGGGGAGGUACUAUGAUCCUGAAGGUGGUUUUCCAGGGUGAGGCUUAUCCCUUGCUCUCAGGAUGUGCCGACCAUGUGAUUUCCCCAAAUGUGGGAAACUUCAUUGCAUAAUUUGUGCUAAUGGGGGACUGAAUUCACGCUCUCUCCAG
Phyllostomus hastatus (greater spear-nosed bat) is the source of this 162-nucleotide small nuclear RNA. RefSeq annotates it as U1 spliceosomal RNA. NCBI's taxonomy places the organism in Eukaryota, Metazoa, Chordata, Mammalia, Chiroptera, Phyllostomidae. The record is from RefSeq and is a predicted model, not a curated record. The transcript has a single exon.